UACGAGGGGGGCGAGCGUUGUUCGGAAUUAUUGGGCGUAAAGGGCUCGUAGGCGGCCAACUAAGUCGGAUGUGAAAUCCCCAGGCUCAACCUGGGAACUGCAUCCGAUACUGGUUGGCUUGAAUCCGGGGAGAGGGAUGCGGAAUUCCAGGUGUAGCGGUGAAAUGCGUAGAUAUCUGGAGGAACACCGGUGGCGAAGGCGGCAUCCUGGACCGGUAUUGACGCUGAGGCGCGAAAGCUAGGGGAGCAAACGGG
This 254-nucleotide ribosomal RNA is filed under the name uncultured bacterium. Its description in RNAcentral is "partial 16S ribosomal RNA". It matches the Rfam family "Bacterial small subunit ribosomal RNA", at positions 524 to 776 of the family's 1533-position model. The record is from RNAcentral.